CCCAUCAGCACAGAAAACUGUGCUGCCGCUAUGUCUGAGCAGUCCAAGGAAGCCAGAGAUGCCCAUCGCGCUUUGUUACGCCGGGGUACUACAACUGCCCUGCUAACAGCGCUGUGGUUACCUGCCCGCUGUCCCUCUGUGCCAGGUGAUAAAGGCCCAGAUCCCUGCAGAAACCUGGAGAGGGGGAGAGAGGACUCUAAGCUCAGCACCAGGCGAAGCGCUGGCUGCCUGGCACAGCACCCGUCCCACACCCUGCUCGACCUGUCCUUGGGGACGGGAGCCGCCCACCCGCAGUGGCCCUGGGGUUAGGAACCGGGCAUAAAUUCUUGCAGCCUGCCACUCAGUCUGAUGUCUGAAUUGCUGCGUCAUCCUUCUGCCUUUGAGAAAGUCAAACUAGUCCCAGUCGUGAAGCAGUCUGUGCUGCGCUGGGGACGAUUUGUUCAGAGCAGACAGGUCCCUGUGAUUAGAAAUGAGCUCGGUUUGGCAGGAAGCACGGAGGAAGGCUGGCAGACAGGCAGCGUGUCCCUUGCAUGCAAGAUUCCUCCAGAAGUAAAGAAGCACUGGUGGAGACAGUGCAACCCCUGGCAAGAAGCAGCAACGCUGUGCGACAAAGGAGGAAGCCACUUCCAGGUUAUGAAAACAUGCUGUUGAA
Molecule: long non-coding RNA, 652 nt
Filed under: Numida meleagris (helmeted guineafowl)
Lineage: Eukaryota; Metazoa; Chordata; Aves; Galliformes; Numididae
Description: lncRNA (ENSNMEG00000018458.1)
Source: RNAcentral